CGCACCUUGCGCUCCUUGGUAUUCCGAGGAGCAUGCCUGUUUGAGUGUCAUUAAAUUCUCAACCUCUCUAGUUUUUUGACUAGUAGAUGGCUUGGAUUUGGGAGUAAUUUUGCAGGCUUUCACAAGUCAGCUCUCCUUAAAUAUAUUAGCCGGUGUUUUCUAACCGUCUAUUAGUGUGAUAAUUAUCUACGCUGUGGACUAUUAGAUUUUGCGCUGCUUAUAACCGUCCUCUGGACAAUAUAUGACAUUUUGACCUCAAAUCAGGUAGGACUACCCGCUGAACUUAA
This 287-nucleotide unclassified non-coding RNA is filed under the name Strophariaceae sp. RNAcentral's name for it is "partial contains 5.8S ribosomal RNA, internal transcribed spacer 2, and large subunit ribosomal RNA". The record is from RNAcentral. Lineage: Eukaryota; Fungi; Basidiomycota; Agaricomycetes; Agaricales; Strophariaceae.